Molecule: unclassified non-coding RNA, 145 nt
Filed under: soil metagenome
Description: partial internal transcribed spacer 1
Source: RNAcentral
UAAUAAGUGUUUUAUGGCACUUUUUAAAUCCAUAUCCACCUUGUGUGCAAUGCCAGGUCGAUCUUCUUCAUGGAGAUCGACCAAACAUCAACCUUUAUCUUUUAACUCUUUGUCUGAAAAAUAUUAUGAAUAAACAAUUCAAAUA